This 892-nucleotide unclassified non-coding RNA is filed under the name Hevea brasiliensis (rubber tree). The record is from RNAcentral. Lineage: Eukaryota; Viridiplantae; Streptophyta; Magnoliopsida; Malpighiales; Euphorbiaceae.
AGUUUAUAUGCAUUCAGGCAGAAAAACCCAAAAUACAAGAAAAACCAACAAAAGAAGAAAGAUAUGGUCACAAAAAUGAAUCAAUAAAACAACUGAGUAAAGUGGGUGCAAUUAAAGCAAGCUAACUGGUAUCCAUAUAGCAAUGUUAUAACAUAAACAACAUGAUCUUUUCUAGUUUAGGUAUGAAUCCUAAGCCCUUCUAGUUUACUGUUCAUGGUUGCCAUUCACAGUGCCAGGCCUCCACUUGAUAAGCCCUAGAAAACUGUCUUUUCUCAUGCUGUUUAACUCUCAAAUCAUACUUGAUAACGAAAAACCCACAUUUGUAGUUUUCUUACCCAUAUCCAGCCCUAAAGAGCCAAACCUAGUACCUAUCCUGUUCAUCUAACCAUCUAUUUUAAUUCGCAGAGAUAACACAGAAUUCCAAUUUCUAAAGUUUACAUCUGCCAAUAAUCAAAUAAGAUAAAACGGAAAUAACUUCCAACUACGCCAAACAAGAAAAACAUUAGAAUCUAUUGGAGCAAUUGUUUUCUAUAUCUUAAUCCUAGUCUUGAAAGGAUUUUCUAAACCAAAAAAAAAAGAACAUUUUUCUAGCAUCAAAUCAGAUCAACAAACAAGAAAAUGGACCAAAAAAAACCCACAUAAUAAUAAAUUAGGUUAUACUUCAGUUGUACUACGGCCAGUUUUCACUCUGUUUUUAAGCAAAUUAACUAAAAACGAUUAGAGCAUAAUAAUAAUAAUAAUUCAACUGCGUUCAGUAACUAAAGAUAUUCAGAUUUAUUAGUUGUUACGAUUUAACUUCAAAAUCCUCUCCAUUUCCAAAGAAUUUCUCAACAGCCAAACAGACAACUAAACUAACGACCAAAACAAUUCAAGCACAAAGGAAAAUCCAGAA